CGGAAGCGGAAACGAAAGAGCUGGCGGAAAUUGUGGUUCUCGCUGUCCUGUGGGAGCGAGCCGGUGCUUUCUCAUAAACUUCAAGUACUCACAGUAGCGGAUAGUGGUGUUUUGCAAGCAGUAUGCAGAUACGUGACUGAAGGACUGCCCUCCGUCACAGGCGACAACAGAGAAGUGGCAGAAUACCGGAAUGGGUUGGCCACCAGGAGGAAGGAUCUGAAGGAAUGCAGCAUAGAUGUCGGGCCAAAUAGCUCCCCUCGGUGCAUGCGCAAUUGAACUCUUGCCUUCUUUCUUUUUGCUACCCGUAUAUCUCUGAACUGUAAAUAAAUGGUUGCUUUUGCCGUAUGA
This is a long non-coding RNA of Rhipicephalus microplus (southern cattle tick), 348 nucleotides long. NCBI's taxonomy places the organism in Eukaryota, Metazoa, Arthropoda, Arachnida, Ixodida, Ixodidae. The record is from RefSeq and is a predicted model, not a curated record.